GGUAGGAUGGUCGAAUGAUUAGGCGGGGGGCUGUAGACCCCCAAAUGGGGGUUGAAUUCCUCCUCCUAUCA
This 71-nucleotide transfer RNA is filed under the name Darevskia parvula. RNAcentral describes it as "tRNA-Tyr". It matches the Rfam family "tRNA". From Rfam's summary of the family: Transfer RNA (tRNA) molecules are approximately 80 nucleotides in length. Their secondary structure includes four short double-helical elements and three loops (D, anti-codon, and T loops). Lineage: Eukaryota; Metazoa; Chordata; Lepidosauria; Squamata; Lacertidae. The record is from RNAcentral.